RNAcentral lists this ribosomal RNA (270 nucleotides) under uncultured archaeon. RNAcentral describes it as "partial 16S ribosomal RNA". It matches the Rfam family "Archaeal small subunit ribosomal RNA", at positions 477 to 747 of the family's 1478-position model. The record is from RNAcentral.
CAGCACCUCAAGUGGUCAGGAUGAUUAUUGGGCCUAAAGCAUCCGUAGCCGGCUCUGUAAGUUUUCGUUUAAAUCUGUACGCUCAACGUACAGGCUGCCGGGAAUACUGCAGAGCUAGGGAGUGGGAGAGGUAGACGGUACUCGGUAGGAAGGGGUAAAAUCCUUUGAUCUAUUGAUGACCACCUGUGGCGAAGGCGGUCUACCAGAACACGUCCGACGGUGAGGGAUGAAAGCUGGGGGAGCAAACCGGAUUAGAUACCCGAGUAGUCC